This is a long non-coding RNA of Trifolium pratense (red clover), 788 nucleotides long. RefSeq lists it as uncharacterized. The record is from RefSeq and is a predicted model, not a curated record. The transcript has 2 exons. NCBI's taxonomy places the organism in Eukaryota, Viridiplantae, Streptophyta, Magnoliopsida, Fabales, Fabaceae.
CAAUCGCGCGCGAUCCCGGUGGGAUCCCGGUGACGCGGCGCGGAGCGGUGGCCAACCGCUACGGGAAGGCUCGGAGCGGAGCAGCUCACCUUCUCGGUGGGAUCCCGGGUUCUCAAUGGAGCGGGUCUGUGCGCGGGUCGCGUAUAUCCAUCCCGGGAUUGGACCGGGUUUUAAAAAACAUGGGUUUUUGGGAAUUUUAUUGAUUUUAGUAAGGGUAUAUUUGGUAUUUUACAUCUUGUUCACAACUUCACAAAAGAAACCCUAGCCGCCGCAUCAAUUCACAUCUAUUAUUUUCUUCACAUCAAAAUAACGAUCCAAAAUCAAAUUCAUCGUAUUAUCAUCUCCAAAAUCAAAGCUUCAUCGUAUUAUCAUCUCCACCUCCUAACUUCUUCAAAGCUUCAUCAUCUCUCCAAACUUCACCAAGUUUAGAAUUUGUCAACUAUGGCAUCAUCUUCAUCUUCAGCAAUACCAUCAAUCUCAGAAACUGUGCAGUCUAGUUAUGUGAGGCAUACAACAAGUGGAGGAUGAAGGUGUUGAAGAAAUUGGAGAUGAUGUUGAAGAUAAUGUUGUGGAGGCUGAUGAGGAUUAUGAAGAAGACAAUGAUUUUGAUGAUGAUUAUUAGACUUGAUUAUUUAUUUUAGUUACUUUAUUAAUCUAAGUGACUUUUGCUUAUUUAUUUUGCUUGACUUUUGUUGGUAAUUUUUGUUACUUUAUGAUGAUGAAGGUGUUGAAGACUUGAGAUUUGUGGUUUGAAUUUAUGAUUUAUGAAUGUUUUAUGGAUUUUGAGA